This 253-nucleotide ribosomal RNA is filed under the name uncultured bacterium. Its description in RNAcentral is "partial 16S ribosomal RNA". It matches the Rfam family "Bacterial small subunit ribosomal RNA", at positions 524 to 776 of the family's 1533-position model. The record is from RNAcentral.
UACGAGAGGUCCAAACGUUAUUCGGAAUCACUGGGCUUACAGAGUUCGUAGGCGGUCCAGGAAGUGGGGUGUGAAAGCCCUCGGCUUAACCGAGGAACUGCGCUCCAAACUACUGGGCUAGAGGAAGAUAGAGGUGAGCAGAACUGAUGGUGGAGCGGUGAAAUGCGUUGAUAUCAUCAGGAAUACCGGAGGCGAAGGCGGCUCACUGGGUCUUUUCUGACGCUGAGGAACGAAAGCUAGGGGAGCAAACGGG